UAGCAGUUAGGGAAUCUUCGGCAAUGGGGGCAACCCUGACCGAGCAACGCCGCGUGAGUGAAGAAGGUUUUCGGAUCGUAAAGCUCUGUUGUAAGAGAAGAACGUGUGUGAGAGUGGAAAGCUCACACAGUGACGGUAACUUACCAGAAAGGGACGGCUAACUUACGUGCCAGCAGCCGCGGUAAUACGUAGGUCCCGAGCGUUGUCCGGAUUUAUUGGGCGUAAAGCGAGCGCAGGCGGUUUAAUAAGUCUGAAGUUAAAGGCAGUGGCUUAACCAUUGUUCGCUUUGGAAACUGUUAGACUUGAGUGCAGAAGGGGAGAGUGGAAUUCCAUGUGUAGCGGUG
This 344-nucleotide ribosomal RNA is filed under the name uncultured Streptococcus sp. RNAcentral describes it as "bacterial SSU rRNA". It matches the Rfam family "Bacterial small subunit ribosomal RNA", at positions 349 to 683 of the family's 1533-position model. Lineage: Bacteria; Bacillati; Bacillota; Bacilli; Lactobacillales; Streptococcaceae. The record is from RNAcentral.